RNAcentral lists this ribosomal RNA (670 nucleotides) under Actinomycetes bacterium. RNAcentral's name for it is "bacterial SSU rRNA". It matches the Rfam family "Bacterial small subunit ribosomal RNA", at positions 231 to 873 of the family's 1533-position model. The record is from RNAcentral. Lineage: Bacteria; Bacillati; Actinomycetota; Actinomycetes.
UCGCGGCCUAUGCAGCUGUGUUGGUGAGGGUAACGGCCUCACCAAGGGCGACUUACGGGGUAGCCGGCCUGUAGAGGGCGACCGGCCACACUGGGACUGAGACACGGCCCAGACUCCUGCGGGAGGCAGCAGUGGGGAAUAUUGCGCAAUGGGCGAAAGCCUGACGCAGCGACGCCGCGUGGGGGAUGACGGCCUUCGGGUUGUAAACCUCUUUUACCACCAAACGCAGGCUCCGGGUUCUCUCGGGGUUGACGGUAGGUGGGGAAUAAGGACCGGCUAACUACGUGCCAGCAGCCGCGGUAAUACGUAGGGUCCGAGCGUUGUCCGGAAUUAUUGGGCGUAAAGAGCUCGUAGGCGGCGUGUCGCGUCUGCUGUGAAAGACCGGGGCUUAACUCCGGUUCUGCAGUGGAUACGGGCAUGCUAGAGGUAGGUAGGGGAGACUGGAAUUCCUGGUGUAGCGGUGAAAUGCGCAGAUAUCAGGAGGAACACCGGUGGCGAAGGCGGGUCUCUGGGCCUUACCUGACGCUGAGGAGCGAAAGCAUGGGGAGCGAACAGGAUUAGAUACCCUGGUAGUCCAUGCCGUAAACGUUGGGCGCUAGGUGUGGGGACUUUCCACGGUUUCCGCGCCGUAGCUAACGCAUUAAGCGCCCCGCCGGGGGGAAGAAGGGAA